This 221-nucleotide non-coding RNA is filed under the name Burkholderia sp. YI23. RNAcentral's name for it is "Burkholderia sRNA Bp1_Cand871_SIPHT". It matches the Rfam family "Burkholderia sRNA Bp1_Cand871_SIPHT". The record is from Rfam by way of RNAcentral. Lineage: Bacteria; Pseudomonadati; Pseudomonadota; Betaproteobacteria; Burkholderiales; Burkholderiaceae.
CGCCCACAAUCUGUUCAAACGGUUUCAACACGGAUGUAUUCGGGCGCGCUGUGCAAAAGCCGCGUGUCCGGUGGCAGACUUUUGGUCCGAGCUCUCUUACCGGGGGCAUCCGUGUUGGGAUCGUUCUUCGAAUGGAAAGGCAUUCGAACAUCCCACGAUUGGUCUCCUCGCGCUAACCCCGUAGCGUGUGGUUUUUAGCGGGCUCCAGGCCCGCUUUUUUU